This 254-nucleotide ribosomal RNA is filed under the name uncultured bacterium. Its description in RNAcentral is "partial 16S ribosomal RNA". It matches the Rfam family "Bacterial small subunit ribosomal RNA", at positions 524 to 776 of the family's 1533-position model. The record is from RNAcentral.
UACGUAGGGUGCGAGCGUUGUCCGGAAUUAUUGGGCGUAAAGAGCUCGUAGGCGGUGUGUCGCGUCGGCCGUGAAAACCUGGGGCUUAACUCUGGGCGUGCGGUCGAUACGGGCAUCACUGGAGUUCGGCAGGGGAGACUGGAAUUCCUGGUGUAGCGGUGAAAUGCGCAGAUAUCAGGAGGAACACCAGUGGCGAAGGCGGGUCUCUGGGCCGAUACUGACGCUGAGGAGCGAAAGCAUGGGUAGCGAACAGG